This 1235-nucleotide ribosomal RNA is filed under the name metagenome. Its description in RNAcentral is "bacterial LSU rRNA". It matches the Rfam family "Bacterial large subunit ribosomal RNA", at positions 1564 to 2808 of the family's 2925-position model. The record is from RNAcentral.
UGAAUACGAGAUGCUACGGCGUCGAAGCAGUCUAUGUCAUACUUCCAAGAAAAGCUCGCACUGUCAUAAACAAAUAAUGCCUGUACCAUAACCGACACAGGUGGGUAGGUAGAGUAUACUAAGGGGCGCGAGAUAACUCUCUCUAAGGAACUCGGCAAAAUGACUCCGUAACUUCGGGAGAAGGAGUGCCUUAUUUAUAAGGUUGCAAUAACAAGAUCCAAGCAACUGUUUAUCAAAAACACAGGUCUCCGCUAAGUCGUAAGACGAUGUAUGGGGGCUGACGCCUGCCCAGUGCCAGAAGGUUAAAGAAGUUGGUUAGCAUUCGCGAAGCUGAUAACUGAAGCCCUGGUGAACGGCGGCCGUAACUAUAACGGUCCUAAGGUAGCGAAAUUCCUUGUCGGGUAAGUUCCGACCCGCACGAAAGGCGUAAUGAUUUGGAUACUGUCUCGGAGAGGGGCUCGGUGAAAUAGACUUGUCUGUGAAGAUGCGGACUACCUGCACCAGGACAGAAAGACCCUAUGAAGCUUUACUGUAACUUGAGAUUGAAAUUGGACUUUACUUGCGCAGUAUAGGUGGGAGGCGUUGAUAAUAUUCUUGCGGGAUUAUUUGAGCCAUCAGUGAGAUACCACUCUUGUAAUGUUAGAUUUCUAACUUUGUAUCAUUAUCUGGUCAAAGGACAGUUUCAGGCGGGCAGUUUGACUGGGGCGGUCGCCUCCUAAACGGUAACGGAGGCGCACAAAGGUUUCCUCUGAACGGGUAGAAAUCGUAUCUAGAGUAUAAAGGCAUAAGGAAGCUUGACUGUGAGACCUACAAGUCGAGCAGGGACGAAAGUCGGUCUUAGUGAUCUGACGGUGCUGAGUGGAAAGGCCGUCACUCAACGGAUAAAAGUUACUCUAAGGAUAACAGGCUGAUCUCCCCCAAGAGUUCACAUCGACGGGGAGGUUUGGCACCUCGAUGUCGGCUCAUCGCAUCCUGGGGCGGUAGUACGUCCCAAGGGUUGGGCUGUUCGCCCAUGAAAGCGGUACGCGAGCUGGGUUCAGAACGUCGUGAGACAGUUCGGUCCAUAUCCGGUGUAGGCGUUAGAAUAUUGAGAGGAGCCUUCUUUAGUACGAGAGGACCGAGAAGGACAUACCUCUGGUGUACCAGUUAUCGUGCCAACGGUAAACGCUGGGUAGCUAUGUAUGGAGUGGAUAACCGCUGAAAGCAUCUAAGUGGGAAGCCCACCUCAAGAUAAG